GUUUUUAUAGUUAAACUAUAACGGUAAUUUUUCAAGUUACAGGUCCUGGUUAGAUUCCUGGUAAAAAUU
RNAcentral lists this transfer RNA (69 nucleotides) under Serrivomer sector (sawtooth eel). Its description in RNAcentral is "tRNA-Glu". It matches the Rfam family "tRNA". Rfam says of the family: Transfer RNA (tRNA) molecules are approximately 80 nucleotides in length. Their secondary structure includes four short double-helical elements and three loops (D, anti-codon, and T loops). Lineage: Eukaryota; Metazoa; Chordata; Actinopteri; Anguilliformes; Serrivomeridae. The record is from RNAcentral.